Triticum aestivum (bread wheat) is the source of this 125-nucleotide non-coding RNA. Lineage: Eukaryota; Viridiplantae; Streptophyta; Magnoliopsida; Poales; Poaceae. The record is from Rfam.
UUUCUACUCCCUCCGUCUGGAAAUACUUGUCAAAGAAAUGCAUAAAAAUGAAUGUAUCUAGAACUAAUAUACAUCUAGAUACAUCCAUUCCUCCGUCGAGUAUUUUGGGACGGAGGGAGUACAAG